UCGAGAAUCUUCGGCAAUGGGCGCAAGCCUGACCGAGCGACGCCGCGUGCGGGAUGAAGGCCUUCGGGUUGUAAACCGCUGUCGUAGGGGAGGAAGGUCUGGUGUAGAGCCAGGCUUGACCGAUCCUAGGAGGAAGGGCCGGCUAAUCUCGUGCCAGCAGCCGCGGUAAUACGAGAGGCCCAAACGUUAUUCGGAUUUACUGGGCUUAAAGAGUUCGUAGGCGGCGCAGAAAGUAGGGUGUGAAAGCCCUCGGCUCAACCGAGGAAUUGCGCCCUAAACUACUGUGCUCGAGGGACCUAGAGGUGAGCAGAACUGAUGGUGGAGCGGUGAAAUGCGUUGAUAUCAUCAGGAAUACCGGAGGCGAAGGCGGCUCACUGGGGGUCUUCUGACGCUGAGGAACGAAAGCCAGGGGAGCGAACGGGAUUAGAUACCCCCGUAGUCC
RNAcentral lists this ribosomal RNA (442 nucleotides) under uncultured bacterium. Its description in RNAcentral is "bacterial SSU rRNA". It matches the Rfam family "Bacterial small subunit ribosomal RNA", at positions 355 to 796 of the family's 1533-position model. The record is from RNAcentral.